Long non-coding RNA from Felis catus (domestic cat), 387 nucleotides. RefSeq lists it as uncharacterized. The transcript is spliced from 3 exons. Lineage: Eukaryota; Metazoa; Chordata; Mammalia; Carnivora; Felidae. The record is from RefSeq and is a predicted model, not a curated record.
GCAGAUACUGUGUUUUUAUAAAUUGAAGAUGUGGCAACCCCAUAUCCAGCAAGUCUAAAAGUACCAUUCUUCCAACAGCAUUUGAGCACUUCAUGUCUGAUCUUCUCUGUGACCUAUGAAGAAUAUUGUUGGCACUCAAAGACUACUGAUCUGUACACAAUUAGCCUGUGGCCUCAUUAAUUUCUUGGGAAUUUGUUUCCCGCAAAUACAAGAAUUUCACUACAAGAACUUAAGGAUGUUCCAGGUUUAUCUGAUAUACCAAACAUGCCCAUAAAAUCAGAGGAAAAGAAGGGUGCACUGAAUGUCAUCCAUCAAGGAUACUGAAAAGGGUCACAUUGACAUAUUUUAUGUCCGGUUUGUGAGCAAAGAUGCCGGUAAAUUCUGACA